Molecule: long non-coding RNA, 578 nt
Organism: Cucumis sativus (cucumber)
Lineage: Eukaryota; Viridiplantae; Streptophyta; Magnoliopsida; Cucurbitales; Cucurbitaceae
Exons: 3
Source: RefSeq, a predicted model, not a curated record
CAUUUUUCUUUUCUUCUCCUUCCUCCCCGUGCGUUCUCCUUCCCGUUCGCAGCAACCGCCGCCCCAUCUAUUUUCCUUCCGUUCGUGCGCAGCCGCAGCCCAACCGCCGAUCCUUUCUCCUCCAUUUUCUUCCCGCCGCAGCCAGCCGCCAUCUCUGUUCGCGAAGCAAGGCCGCCGCGUGAACCUGUAACCGCCGGCUGUCUCCCCUCUCCUUUCUCCUCUGUUUUCAGCCCAGCCGCCGCCGAUUCAUUCUCCUCCGUUGUCUGCACUGCCGCGCGACUCUCCGACCAUCUGUAUACGGUCUCUCCGUCGCACGUCAUCUCUUCGCAAAGCCACUGCUCGAUUUCUUUCGCGAAGAUUUGGGUUCGUUCUUCAUAGACUUCAACGUGGUUAAGGAGCUUAACAAAUUUGAAGGCAAAGGUAAUAAAGGUGGCAAACCGGCGAGGGGCAGGAAGGAAGCGUGAUGCCAUAGGAAACGUGUAAUUGCUUCCGCUUAAUUAAGAUUGAUUUGAAAUUUAAUUUACAAACGUUUGUUGUAAACAGUAUUAUUUUAUGUUUUCUUGAAUGUUUAAAAAUCA